RNAcentral lists this long non-coding RNA (233 nucleotides) under Citrus x clementina. Its description in RNAcentral is "Citrus clementina (C. clementina) long non-coding RNA (CCLE_LNC003376)". Lineage: Eukaryota; Viridiplantae; Streptophyta; Magnoliopsida; Sapindales; Rutaceae. The record is from RNAcentral.
UUUUAUUGUUUUUAGGUAAAUUCGCUGUUGUUUUUGUGUAUGGAGUUGGCUGGAAAAUGGUCAUGAUGCAUUUUGAAUGGGGAAUGAUGGGGACUGAUAGUAAAAGUUUCUUGUGUUGUUCUUGCUGCUACUUGCUCCAUUUGAGCUUCUAGAAUUUGUUAAAAGUAGAGGGGAAGAAGAAAGAGAUGAUGAGAAGUGCAAACUGUUUGCGAGCUUUAGAUUGAUGUAACAAG